Molecule: long non-coding RNA, 2959 nt
Organism: Panicum virgatum (switchgrass)
Lineage: Eukaryota; Viridiplantae; Streptophyta; Magnoliopsida; Poales; Poaceae
Exons: 2
Source: RefSeq, a predicted model, not a curated record
CAGGUUUCUAGUCUUCUCGUAACGAAAUCUGAGCCAAGCUCAAGCAUCCUAUUGGGCCACGUCGCAUAUUUUUCUAUCGGCAUUGGAUUUUGAUCGGUUUCUAGAUCUUUCAUUCCGAGCGCUAGACUCCCCACUGUUCAUCGUUGCCGCCUCCAUCCAACCCGUCACCGACUCACCCCUGCUCCAACGCCUCCGCGGCCAUUGAGGAGCAAGAGAACCCCCUGCUCUGCUUCACCGAUGCCAGUGCCCGAGGUAAAGUGCAAUCAUUGAGGGCGAAGAGGCGCCCGGGUACGCCAAAACUAUGGCUCGCAAGCACAGGCAAGGGCCAAAAUUGUGUUGUGGCUCCAAUCGGCUGGCUGCUAGCCGUCGCAUGUUGAUGAAGCCAUGAAGGUCGGGUGCCUGCUUCACUUCGAGCGACAGAGGUGUCUGGCAGACUGAAGGCUCGCCGACUGCUGAGAGGCUCGAGCUAUGCACUCUCAGGAUGCCAGUGUGUUGAUCGCCUCCCUCCCAGGCUAAGCUCUGCCUCUCCACCACCUAGGCCACGGAGCCACGCGAGCUACAGAUCGAUGCAACCCCGGCCAUCGGACUGGUGGAGCUCCUGCGGUGCAGCGAUAGAAGGGAGCUGGAGGAGCAGCUCAUACUGCAAAUUGACAGGACAAUGUGCGAGCAGCAGUUCCAGCGGUCCAGCCACUGAUGACAUGCCUCCACUGCCAGCAAGGUGUUCGAUAAAAUGCCAAUCUCCCAGGCAUAUAGCAACUUUAAUUUAAGGUUACCGUAUUAUUCAGGACCAUCGAUACCACUACCAUAAAAUUCUGUUUCUUUAUGAAGGUAAUUAUCUUCUUCUGUUCCUGUUCUGCAAAUGUCUACAAAAGUUCAUUUUGCACGCCUGUUGUGAGACAUGAAGUUCUCUGGCUUAUUGAUGGGUACACAUUAUAUGAGAAAAUUAGUUCCUUAAUGAAAAUAUAUUUUUGGAUUUCUUUGGGGUAACCACCGCACCAGAUAUGAGCAUGAUAUGCUUCCUCCGUGGCCAUUCAUGUAAAGGUAGCUUAUUUCAUUUAGCCAUUCAUCUGUUGCAUGCGUAAGCAGUGUGAACAGUGACACUGCAGGUAAUUUUUUCCAUGCUUCUUCCUAGAAGUAAUGGUGUUACCAUUAAUUGUAUAACUCUGUUUCUUCAUGUGUAAUUGUAUUGCAAUGAAGCUUGCAUGGCUAUUUACUCUUAGAUAUUACAACGAUGCCUGGAUUGCAAGGUACUGAUUCUAUCUUUCAGAGAUAGGGCUUAUAUUCAUAAUGAUAGAUUAUUCCAAAUUGCGUUGUAGUAAGAUAAAAGAGAGUUCUAAUUGUGAAAUUAAAAAAAAAAUAUUUGAAGCCAGCUCCCUUAAGAUAAUUUAAACUUUUCAUUUCCAUAUAAUGCUUUAGGGAUUAAAUUGAUAUUAAUUUCAUGACUUCUAAUUUGGAUAUACUACAAACACAUUGACGUUUGAACUUUAACAUCAGAUAUGUGCUUACUCCUGUAUGGAUAUUUUCAUUCCAAAAUUUAGAACUAGAUAGUGCUUAUUCUGAAUCACAAAUUCAAAGUACAUAUACACAUUGAGUCCCCAACUGCUUCAUGAUAACAAAUAAAUAUGUAAUACUCAGACAUUAAAAAAGUACACCAAGUCAGUUUAACUCUUUUAAGUUAUUUUGGUUUUCAUUUGGAUACAUUGCGAUCAUGGCAAUACUAGGUAUUCAUUUCUAAAUCCUAAUUUGCAGAUCACAUUAACAUAUUAUCAACAAACCUAUCCAUUACAUACAGGUAAAUAGCAAUGAUGCCACCUUACCUUGUUACCAUGAAAAAUCAAACCCAUGUUAUUUACUCUUGAAUUUAAUAGCCAGUGAUUAUCAAACAUUAUUAGAUUGACAUGCUGAUACCUUAUAACUUCAGGUUUCUGCUCUUCAUGCCUUUUUUAUGUUUGGUACAGUUCUAGGUGUUGACAUUUCUUACCUCACAGGAGAGCUUACAAAAUCAUUUUUCUACUCUAAUUAAUAAGAAAUACAUCCCCUGCCUGACAAGAGAAACAGAAUUUGAGUGUAGAUAAAAUCGUUCGAAUCCACUUUGCAAUUUGUGUCUACACUCUACAGUGAUAACAAAACCAAUAGAAGAUUAGAGCUAACUACUUCGUUUGAAUCCUCAGAUCCCCAAUGCCCGCCGCGCACGAACCACCGGAUUGAUGAUGAUCCUGGGCCGGCAGAAUAUCUCGGGGCUUGCCUCAUGCUGGAAAGCCUGCAGCUGCACCGGUGCCAGCUGCAUGACCGUUGAGGGUGCCCGUGAGAUUCAGUUCCAGAGUUGCUGGGGCCUCGAAGACGAUAUGUUUGCCUUGGUUGGCCUAUGCAGGAAAGUGAAAUUCCUGUCAUUAGAAAGGUGCUCACUACUAACAACUCGAGGUCUAGAGUCGGUGAUAACCUCAUGGAGCGACCUGCAGAGCCUAGAAGUCGUCUCUUGCAAUAAAAUCAAGGAUGAGGAAAUAACACCUGCCCGUUCAGAACUAUUCUCCAAUCCAGGGAUUGACCUUUCUUGCAGCAGAUCUUACCAGCCCACCAACGGAUCAAAGGGAAGGUGCUCAACUUAGCAGGUGUUGCCGCUUAGUUGGAUUGCCGCUAGUCAAGAACUUUGCGCGCUCCUACAAAGUUCUUCAUGCUCAGAAGCCAAAUUCUCGACUUCAGACCAAGGGUAGGCACAUUUCCUGAUACUCACAGGAGCCCGUAGACAAAAUCUGGACACACAACAUAGCUAGUCAGAGCCUGAUAGUUAGAAGCACAUUUUGGGUACCAGGCGCUCGAUUGUGUUUGUAUCUGAGUUGUAACUGACGAGAUCUCGUAACUGACAAGCUGAGAUUUGCUCUGAAGAGCCUGAGCAGAAUAUUUAUGUAUGACCAAAAGCAUUCCUUCAUAAAUUAUGCUGACUUUGUUAGUUAUUGAUUAA